RNAcentral lists this ribosomal RNA (497 nucleotides) under uncultured bacterium. Its description in RNAcentral is "partial 16S ribosomal RNA". It matches the Rfam family "Bacterial small subunit ribosomal RNA", at positions 28 to 507 of the family's 1533-position model. The record is from RNAcentral.
GAUGAACGCUGGCGGCGUGCCUAAUACAUGCAAGUCGAGCGAACGGACGAGAAGCUUGCUUCUCUGAUGUUAGCGGCGGACGGGUGAGUAACACGUGGAUACCCUACCUAUCAGUCUGGUAUAACUUCGGGAAACCGGAGCUAAUCCCGGAUAAUAUUUUGAACCGCAGGGUUCAAAGGUGAAAGACGGUCUUGCUGUCACUUAUAGAUGGAUCCGCGCUGCAUUAGCUAGUAGGUAAGGUAACGGCUUACCAAGGCAACGAUGCAUAGCCGACCUGAGAGGGUGAUCGGCCACACUGGAACGUAGCCACGGUCCAGGCUCCUACGGGAGGGCGCAGUAGGGAAUCUUACGCAGUGGGCGGAAGCAUUGCGGAGCGACGGCGCGUGAGUGGUGAAGGUCUUCGGAUCGUAAAGCUCUGUUAUUAGGGGAGAACAUAUGUGUAAGUAACUGUGCACAUCGUGACGGUACCGAAUCAGAAAGCAACGGCUAACUACGUG